GGGUGUGUUAGAGGGAGGCGAGGAAGGGGCUGGGAGAGAUUUCCCAGUAAAGGGGGACAUUUGAGGUAGACUUUGAAGGAAGGGUAGGCCAUGGGGCCUGGGGAGUAGGAACAGCAUGGAGGGAUGAAAAGACGGCGAUCUGAGAAAAUGGGUUUGGAGGAGCUCUGAAUAUUAGUGUUAGAAUUCCCUCAGGUACCCCAGGGCCCCAGCCAGAGAUCAGCACACAGUACAGGAGGCUGGCCAGGCACCCCGACAGGCUAAGGGGCUGCCAGCAGCCCCUUCGCAGCUCUGUCGCAAGGUCGUGUCCCGGAAGUGAAGGGGCCAUGUUGAUGGGUGACCCGGGGAGA
RNAcentral lists this small RNA (347 nucleotides) under Pongo abelii (Sumatran orangutan). RNAcentral describes it as "processed transcript". The record is from RNAcentral. Lineage: Eukaryota; Metazoa; Chordata; Mammalia; Primates; Hominidae.